GAUGAACGCUGGCGGCGUGCCUAAUACAUGCAAGUCGAGCGAACAGACGAGGAGCUUGCUCCUCUGACGUUAGCGGCGGACGGGUGAGUAACACGUGGAUAACCUACCUAUAAGACUGGGAUAACUUCGGGAAACCGGAGCUAAUACCGGAUAAUAUAUUGAACCGCAUGGUUCAAUAGUGAAAGACGGUUUUGCUGUCACUUAUAGAUGGAUCCGCGCCGCAUUAGCUAGUUGGUAAGGUAACGGCUUACCAAGGCAACGAUGCGUAGCCGACCUGAGAGGGUGAUCGGCCACACUAGAACUGAGACACGGUCCAGACUCCUACGGGAGGCAGCAGUAGGGAAUCUUCCGCAAUGGGCGAAAGCCUGACGGAGCAACGCCGCGUGAGUGAUGAAGGUCUUCGGAUCGUAAAACUCUGUUAUUAGGGAAGAACAAAUGUGUAAGUAACUAUGCACGUCUUGACGGUACCUAAUCAGAAAGCCACGGCUAACUACGUG
Molecule: ribosomal RNA, 497 nt
Filed under: uncultured bacterium
Lineage: Bacteria
Description: partial 16S ribosomal RNA
Rfam family: Bacterial small subunit ribosomal RNA
Source: RNAcentral